This 465-nucleotide ribosomal RNA is filed under the name uncultured bacterium. RNAcentral's name for it is "bacterial SSU rRNA". It matches the Rfam family "Bacterial small subunit ribosomal RNA", at positions 338 to 795 of the family's 1533-position model. The record is from RNAcentral.
CCUACGGGCGGCACCAGCGGGGAAUAUUGCACAAUGGGCGCAAGCCUGAUGCAGCCAUACCGCGUGUGUGAAGAAGGCCUUCGGGUUGUAAAGCACUUUCAGCGGGGAGGAAGGCGGUGAGGUUAAUAACCUCAUCGAUUGACGUUACCCGCAGAAGAAGCACCGGCUAACUCCGUGCCAGCAGCCGCGGUAAUACGGAGGGUGCAAGCGUUAAUCGGAAUUACUGGGCGUAAAGCGCACGCAGGCGGUCUGUCAAGUCGGAUGUGAGAUCCCCGGGCUCAACCUGGGAACUGCAUUCGAAACUGGCAGGCUAGAGUCUUGUAGAGGGGGGUAGAAUUCCAGGUGUGGCGGUGAAAUGCGUAGAGAUCUGGAGGAAUACCGGUGGCGAAGGCGGCCCCCUGGACAAAGACUGACGCUCAGGUGCGAAAGCGUGGGGAGCAAACAGGAUUAGAUACCCUCGUAGUC